RNAcentral lists this ribosomal RNA (542 nucleotides) under Penicillium chrysogenum. Its description in RNAcentral is "eukaryotic LSU rRNA". The stretch from base 163 to 315 matches the Rfam family "5.8S ribosomal RNA". Lineage: Eukaryota; Fungi; Ascomycota; Eurotiomycetes; Eurotiales; Aspergillaceae. The record is from RNAcentral.
CUCUGGGUCCACCUCCCACCCGUGUUUAUUUUACCUUGUUGCUUCGGCGGGCCCGCCUUAACUGGCCGCCGGGGGGCUUACGCCCCCGGGCCCGCGCCCGCCGAAGACACCCUCGAACUCUGUCUGAAGAUUGUAGUCUGAGUGAAAAUAUAAAUUAUUUAAAACUUUCAACAACGGAUCUCUUGGUUCCGGCAUCGAUGAAGAACGCAGCGAAAUGCGAUACGUAAUGUGAAUUGCAAAUUCAGUGAAUCAUCGAGUCUUUGAACGCACAUUGCGCCCCCUGGUAUUCCGGGGGGCAUGCCUGUCCGAGCGUCAUUUCUGCCCUCAAGCACGGCUUGUGUGUUGGGCCCCGUCCUCCGAUCCCGGGGGACGGGCCCGAAAGGCAGCGGCGGCACCGCGUCCGGUCCUCGAGCGUAUGGGGCUUUGUCACCCGCUCUGUAGGCCCGGCCGGCGCUUGCCGAUCAACCCAAAUUUUUAUCCAGGUUGACCUCGGAUCAGGUAGGGAUACCCGCUGAACUUAAGCAUAUCAAUAAGCGGAGGAA